Sus scrofa (pig) is the source of this 526-nucleotide non-coding RNA. Lineage: Eukaryota; Metazoa; Chordata; Mammalia; Artiodactyla; Suidae. The record is from RefSeq and is a predicted model, not a curated record.
UGGCCUAAGGAGCCUGAGGUCUGGCUGGAUCCUGGGCACCUUACUCCCUCUCUGUCAGUUGGGCAGGGUCUGAGGAUCUGGCCUAGAGGGCACCGCUAGCUGAGAUCUGCCUCUUCAGCCAGGCCUGGGUGCUAAUGGGAGGACCCAGAUUGGGUGAAGGACAAAUGCUCCCAGACAGGAUGAUCAGCCGGUGCUCUGCCCCUCUCCCCUUAGCCAGGAUCUAGACCUCAGAGGGUGAAAGUCCAUGCUUGGGACCUGGAACAAGUAAGACCAAAGAUAAAAAGAUGCAGAACAGAGAACAACAUUUGUUUUGACUGCGGUUUACAGGAACAUUGUGAGCUGACCCACAUGGACAGCUGCAAGAACAAAGUAUCAACCACCAGGAAGUUUGCAACAACUAACCACAUCCCUCCCUCAUCUUUCCUCUAACAGGGCUUUGCUGAAAACCUUGGAGGAGUUUGAGUUUCUAAGGCAUGAGCCCCCUGUCUCUUUACAUGGCCUUGCAAUAAACCUCUCAUUUCAGUUU